UACGGAGGGGGUUAGCGUUGUUCGGAAUUAUUGGGCGUAAAGCGUGCGCAGGCGGUUUAGUAAGUCGGAAGUGAAAGCCUUGGGCUCAACGCAAGAAUUGCUUUCGAAACUGCUAGACUUGAGUAUUGGAGGGGAUAGCGGAAUUCCUAGUGUAGGGGUGAAAUUCGUAGAUAUUAGGAGGAACACCGGUGGCGAAAGCGGCUAUCUGGACAAUAACUGACGCUGUGGCACGAAAGCGUGGGGAGCAAACAGG
RNAcentral lists this ribosomal RNA (253 nucleotides) under uncultured bacterium. RNAcentral's name for it is "partial 16S ribosomal RNA". It matches the Rfam family "Bacterial small subunit ribosomal RNA", at positions 524 to 776 of the family's 1533-position model. The record is from RNAcentral.